RNAcentral lists this long non-coding RNA (3976 nucleotides) under Sus scrofa (pig). RNAcentral's name for it is "lncRNA (ENSSSCG00000062436.1)". The record is from RNAcentral. Lineage: Eukaryota; Metazoa; Chordata; Mammalia; Artiodactyla; Suidae.
UGGAUGACCAUACCUUAUUUUGACAGUUUCCUCUAAUGGACACGUGGGUUGCUUCCAUUAUUUACCUUUUAUAUACAAUGUUGCAAUGUAUUUCCUGGAGCGCAGAUCAUUUGUCAUGUGUUCAGUAAAGGGUCUGUAGGAUACAUUUCCAGCAGAAUAAUUAGGAGGGCAAAGGAUGUGUACAUCUUUUAUUUUAGUAACAGUUUCCCAACACCUCCCAAGGAGGUUAAACCAGUUUAACUCCCCUCUCACCCACCCACCAAGGCCAUGUCUGAGAGCCUGCUGCCCCACAUUUUGCAAAGACAGUGUUAUCAGACUUUCAUAUCUAUGAAUCUGAUAACUGAAAACAAGAUAUCUCAUAUAAUUUAUAUUUGCAUUUUGCUUAUAAUGCCUAGGUCAAGAAUCUUGUCUUAUACAGCCUUUCGAACCUAAUCCACAGGAUUUGUUUGCAAUUUGCUAAAGGGAUUUUGUUUUAUAUUUCUUUUUAUCGCAUAGAGUAUUUGCAUACAGUGGAAGAUCAAGAAACACUUGAAGAUGAAUUGCCACACCUGGACACAAACCCCCACCCCCUCUGAGCCUCACCCUCACCUCCUGAGGCUACAAGUACAGAAUGACAAUGAGAAAUCUGAAAUGUGCUUUAAGAUGCAUAGCAAAUGGAACUGGACAGCAGGUGGGGUCAGAUCUGCUAGAAAGCAUAGGGUUGUUUUGCCUAAAUUUUCAGAGAUAUUUUUAUUGGCUGCUGGGGCUCUAGAUUGAAGGACCUACGGAACUUUAUACAAGCUAAUUCAUAAAUGAAUUCUAUAUUUAUGCUAAUGUAAUAUUAGGAUGUAUCACACUAAUUGACAGGAGACACUGCCUAAACUUAGUUUUUAGAAGUCAUUCGAUCCCAAGAGCAAAAUAUUUUUUAACAAAAUUGAUAAUUGCACAAUUACUUGUUGAACAUUUCAAAGUUUACAUGUGUAUAUAUUAUAUGUAUGUUACCGAUGGGCAGACGUAGCUAUAUAUACAUCAAAAUGUAAAGGGCACUUAACCUAGACAAUGAGAUGUUCAUUGCAACACUAGCAUUCUUUGGAAAAGUAUUUACAUGAAUUUACAAAUGCCCUGGACCUCUCUUGAUCCAAAAACAAGUCCAGGGGAAAAUAGAAGCUUCGUAUUUUGAAAAAUGCAUGGAACUCGGGCUGAUAAAAAACCUUUCAUGCAUUCAUGAAUGCUAACUAGGAAGAUAAUUGGGAACAUUCCAGAUGUUUAUUCCUCUCUCGCCCUCUCUCUCUCUUUGCCCCCCUCCUUUGGGUGCUCCUAGAUAACCAAGAUGGAACUUGGAAACCUCUUUUCUGAAGCUGUCCCAUUGUAUAUGGUAAGUUACAGUGAACUCAAGACUGAUCCCUCCACAAAAGUCCUUUGUCUGGGGACUGCCUCUAUAAACUGGGACUCAGUGAAUUAUGCUCCUUCUAGGAAGCUUUCUUUAGCUGAUUAUAUUUACCUAAGCAAGCAUUAUUUUCUGUCUUGUUUCCUUCUUUUUCUCAAGCAUGAUUCAGAUCUCAGGAAAACAUGAAGAAGAUAAGGAAAUGGCCAUUUAAACAACAAGGUAUUUCUGGCUUUGCUUCUCUACUUUGGAAACGAUCGAGGUGUUUUUGUAACAAGCACGUGCCAGUUUUUGGAAAAUGUUAUUUUUCAAUAGAAUCCGCCCCCCUCGAGGUCCUGGGACUGUAGGCUACAAAAGGCAUGAAACAUCCUGAUUUUGACAUGUUUUUCUUCUCUGUUGUUUCUGUUCACUUCUGGUUUAAUUUAGUUUUAUUUCAGUAGUUGGGGGGUAGGCGAAAGAGAGAUGAAACCAGCCGUUUCCUAUUCGUUUUAAUUCUAGAAUAAGAUCUUUAUUAUUUUUUAAAUGAGAUGGUGAGGGGAAUGGUUUAAGGGCAAAAUUACAAAGAUUUGCAUGCAGGGUCCUCUCUUUAAAGAAAACUGGUGGGACCUUUAAGAAAAAAAACUGAGCCACAUAAAAUGAGAGCAGUAAAGGGCAAAUGGCAAUAAAGGGACAUGGGGAUGUGUGUGUGUCCUGUGAGGAUGAAACCGUCCCUCUCCUUCCGUGAAAAGCAGCCUUCUUUUCAUGGGAAACCAAGCCACUGGGUUAUUAGAUUCACAAUGAGUUCCCCAGAUGCAGUGCCCAUGAGUAAAGGUUCUCAGGGGAAUAAAGAGAACCCUAGAGGCUUCUGUUUGUUUUGUUUUGUUCUUGUUUUAGUAAAGUUCUGAAUAGUAAUGCUUCCAAGUGCUUCACAAAGCAGAGUGGAGCGCACAGUGCAAAGUCUCUCUUGACUACCGUCCUGCAGUCACCUGUGUCCCUUCUCAGAGUCCACCCCUUCCAGUUUAUUCUGGGUGGUGUGAUUUCCAGAGAUGUGCAUGUAUCAUUAGUAAAUAUUAAUAUAUGUGCCCCAGCCACCCUGUUUUCUACAAGGUAUCCAUCCAUGCCUUACAGUUUGGGCACAUUUUCCCAUGGAUGGAUGACCCAUUGAUCUUGGCCGCUGUUCCAUCUCAAUACACAGAGAACUCAUCCAUCUUUUCCACGGCUGCAUACUGUUCCACUGUCAGUGCUCCAUAACCUAUGUAACCGUUCCCAACCGAUGGGCGUUUAGGUUGCCUUUGAUCUUCUGCUGUUACAAACAGUGCUCCCUUGGCUAAUCUCGGUUGGACAUCAUCUCACACACGUGUGAGGAGUUCUACAGGGGCGUCCCUCCCAGGGGAAACGGUAGGUCAAAGCGUUUCUUAUUAGCCCGUCGUAGGUGGAGAGGGAAGACUUGAGCUGUUCCUGUCCAUCACAUGGCUGGUUUUCAUGCUUUCUGUUUCACACUAUCUUACUACUGAAAUUCGGAUUACCCAAAUCAUACGUUAACAAGUUCUCCCUGUAGCUUAAACUUAUAAAUAAACCAUCCCGAAGGAUACAGGGUAAAGCGCCACUGUCCCCCUGGACCUCCCCACCCCCUCCCCUUCACCACCAUUCUCCUUCUCAAAAUUAACCACUGUGCGUUUGUAUGUGUAGUUCCAGACCUGUCUGUGUCCCCUCAUUUCUAUCCAGACACAUAUUCUUAGGAGCAUCUUGAUAGAUGCAUGUAUAGAUACAGACCGAUAUGUACAUAGAUACAACACGCAAACAGGUGUUCCGUGUGUGUCUAUAAAUGUAGAAGCUUACGGUAGUGCUUGUCAAAUUUUUAUGCACUAAAGACUCAUCUACGGAUUUUGUUAAAAUGAGGCAUGUGAUUCAGUGUGUCUGCAGUGAGAUCUGAGCUUCCCCAUGUAUGACAAGCUCCCAGAGGAGCUGGGAUUGGGUUUCUUUUUGGUUUAGAUUUGUUUUGGUUUUUUGUAAAUGGACUCAUAUCUACUUAUGUUCUGAAACUUGCCUCUUCCUCCCUUGCCGGCUCAUUUGGGAAGAUAAUGUGGAUAAGGACUCUCGAACCCGAUGAACAGUAUGUGCGUGUAUCUAUCUAUCAUCUAUCUGUCUGUAUAUCUAUCUAUCUAUCUAUCAUUAACUUUUAGGAAAGAAAAUUCCCUUUCAUUGCUUUUUCCAUCUGGAAAGCCUCUGAGACCUUCCCAAACUGAUUGCAUUGGAUUUAAAAUAUCAGUGGUGAUAUUAGAAGCAGUUUUGAUUUGCUAAGGAAAGUGUGCCUCAAAUGACACCAGAAUUGUUACUGAUCUGUUCAUGAUCAUAUCCUGGCACCAAUAGCAAGUCUUUUGAAAAUGCAACAGGCAAGAGAAAAGAGGAGUUCCUGUCUCGGCGCAGUGGUUAACGAAUCCGACUAGGAACCAUGAGGUUGCGGGUUCGAUCCCUGGCCUUGCUCAGUGGGUUAAGGAUCCAGCGUUACUGUGAGCCGGGUGUAGGUUGCAGACGCGGCUCGGAUCCCGCGUUGCUGUGGCUCUGGCGUAGGCCAGGGCUGCAGCUCCAAUUAGACCCCUAGCCUGGGAACCUCAUAUGUUGCGGGAGUGGCCC